AGUGAACGCUGGCGGUAGGCCUAACACAUGCAAGUCGAACGGCAGCACAGUAAGAGCUUGCUCUUACGGGUGGCGAGUGGCGGACGGGUGAGGAAUACAUCGGAAUCUACUUUUUCGUGGGGGAUAACGUAGGGAAACUUACGCUAAUACCGCAUACGACCUACGGGUGAAAGCAGGGGAUCUUCGGACCUUGCGCGAUUGAAUGAGCCGAUGUCGGAUUAGCUAGUUGGCGGGGUAAAGGCCCACCAAGGCGACGAUCCGUAGCUGGUCUGAGAGGAUGAUCAGCCACACUGGAACUGAGACACGGUCCAGACUCCUACGGGAGGCAGCAGUGGGGAAUAUUGGACAGUGGGCGCAAGCCUGAUCCAGCCAUGCCGCGUGGGUGAAGAAGGCCUUCGGGUUGUAAAGCCCUUUUGUUGGGAAAGAAAAGCAGCAGGUUAAUACCCCGCUGUUCUGACGGUACCCAAAGAAUAAGCACCGGCUAACUUCGU
Molecule: ribosomal RNA, 491 nt
Filed under: uncultured bacterium
Lineage: Bacteria
Description: partial 16S ribosomal RNA
Rfam family: Bacterial small subunit ribosomal RNA
Source: RNAcentral